RNAcentral lists this long non-coding RNA (592 nucleotides) under Zalophus californianus (California sea lion). RNAcentral describes it as "lncRNA (ENSZCAG00015001080.1)". Lineage: Eukaryota; Metazoa; Chordata; Mammalia; Carnivora; Otariidae. The record is from RNAcentral.
UGUGAAGUGGGCUUAAAGGUGGGAGUGGAAACACAGCCUCCUCAUCACAUUCCCCACCCUCAUCUUCUAGCAGUGAGGGUAAGCCAUCAAAUUUCUCAUGGCACCAAGGAUUCAAGCAAUGGGGUAAUGGAGAUCCUGGACAUUUAUUUUCUCACCAGUGAAAAUUAAUGAAGACCCAGGAGUUACUACAGCAUUAGUGAUGAGAAGGAAGUUUUAGCAGCUAGGGUGUGUUGAAACACAGCACUUUCCUCCUGUCAAGAAAUAACUCCACCAACAUAUAUGACUCCAAAAAGCCAUCUGGAUUUGCCUCUAGCAGUGUUGCAAGCUUGCUAAUGAGGACAACUUUUAACAGAAACCAUACUAGAAACAAUUUUUCUCCAAAGGCAUUAUUUGCUCAAGAGGAAAAAAAAAAAAAACCUCUAGGAAAUGAAAGAGAAGAUAGUGGAGAAACUCAAAUGGAAAUAGAAUGACUUUCGUCAGGAAAAUAUCUUGUUGAGAACCCUUAGGCAUGGAUAGUGAUCCUGAGCAUGGGUUGGAAGAACAAAGUUGAACAAAGAGGAGAUAGCUAAACUACUGUAUUUCAAUUUCAAAC